Molecule: ribosomal RNA, 494 nt
Filed under: uncultured bacterium
Lineage: Bacteria
Description: partial 16S ribosomal RNA
Rfam family: Bacterial small subunit ribosomal RNA
Source: RNAcentral
GACGAACGCUGGCGGCGUGCUUAACACAUGCAAGUCGAACGGAAAGGCCUGCUUUCCCUUGUGGAUUGCGGGUACUCGAGUGGCGAACGGGUGAGUAACACGUGAGUGAUCUGCCCCCAACUUGGGUAUAAGCCUGGGAAACUGGGUCUAAUUCCCGAUAGGACUGCAGGGUGGUGCCUGUGGUGGAAAACGAUUUUCUAGUGGUUGGGGAUGAGCUCGCGGCCUAUCAGCUUGUUGGUGGGGUAAUGGCCUACCAAGGCGGCGACGGGUAGCCGGCCUAAGAGGGUGGACGGCCACAUUGGGACUGAGAUACGGCCCAGACUCCUACGGGAGGCAGCAGUGGGGAAUAUUGCACAAUGGGCGGAAGCCUGAUGCAGCGACGCCGCGUGGGGGAUGACGGCCUUCGGGUUGUAAACUCCUUUCGACCGCGAGGAAGCCACCUGGUUGGAAGGGUGGUGACGGUAGUGGUAGAAGAAGCACCGGCUAACUACGUG